AAAAACAAAAGGGGGGGGCGGGGCGGGAUUGGCAGCAGAUGUUAGCUCAGGACUAAUCUCCCAGAAAAAGAAAAAGUUCUAGUUCCCAAUAAGAUGAAGUAGGCACCCUUCUCCCAGGUUCUCCCUCUGAAUACAGCUGUGAAAUCUGGAUUAAAUGCAUAGAACAGCAAUUUGAUGACUCGGAAAUGUAAUUGGUGGCAAGCAGAUUGGAGAUGACCAGAACUGAAAUAUCAUCAGUCUGACAGUUUGCUAUGUUUCACCCUCCAGAGGUAAACACUGCUUAGCCUUGGACAGGAGUAUAGCCACAGAAGUGUGUGGCAAGCUGCAGUAACUAAAGGCCCAGAAAUAGAGGAUUGAAAAGGGGAGUCCCAAGGAACAUACUGAGCGGAUUGGGGAGAAGGAGGAGCCAGGAUAGUACCUUUGACCCAGCAACUGAACUUCAAAGAAUUUAUUUUAAAGAAUUAAAUCUAAUCAGAUAAGUAUACAAAACUACAAAUUUAAAUAUAUUUACUAAAGCAUUAUUGGCAAGUGUGUAAGAUUAGAAAUAACUGAAAUGUUCAAUAAGCAUUUUAAUGAAAUACAGCUCAGCCGUCUAAAUGAUGUUAGAGAGCAGUGAUUCUAAGGAGAGUGCCCCCUCCUUAAAAACCACUCUUGUUCAACGCCUGGUACUCCUGAGAGGGUGUCAGCUUUCGCAGGGAUGUUAGGUCAGGAAAAAAGUUGAAAGUAACUAUGUAAGAGAAUAAGACGAGAAAUUUACUUUAUAAUGUUUAAUGAAAAACAUCAGAUUAUAAAACCAUUUGUAAAAUAUUAUCCCUUUUUGUUUUAAUAGAUAACCAUUCUUCCCCAAAAUGUUUCCACUGGUUACCCCUUUGUAGUAUGAUUAUGGCUUGUUCAGUUUGGGACUUUUAUUUCUAUUUGAUUAGGCUUCUAUAAUAAAUUUUACUACAUAAUAAUAAAUGAGUACUUAAUAAUUCUUAAGUAAUUACUACAUAAUAAUUCUCCAAAAAGAAGAAAAUGGUAUAAAAAGCCUCCAAUAGCUCCACUUGCCUAAGGAUAAAUUCCAAAAUCCUUAGCAGGACAUUCAGGACCCCAAACACUGUAGCUCCAACCUGUCCUUCCAGCCUCAUCUCCUGCCACUGCCUGUUCUAGAACAUGCAGUAUAACCCCCAGAGCAAAGCCCUCACCCUCUCUCUCCACACGGUGCACAUCCUGCUGCCUCAGAGGUCAGCUGGUAUCAUCAGCCCAUGCAGGGCGCUCCUUUUCUGACAGAGAGAAAGAGCCGAGCCUUUGGGGUUGGGGAAGGUGUCAGUCACCCUGGCCCAUGCGGAGACCAGGAAAAAAGUAGAGCAGAGAGACUUCCUCCUAAAAGUGAAUUGAUUACUUCUCUGACCUUACUGGGUUCCAAAUUAAGUUUCUCUUAGUGUUUUCUCUUCAGUUGAUGUUGUCUCACAUGAGGCGAGAGAAUGAAUGAAUUUUUUCCCUUCUCUUUCUGGGCCUCCAGUUCAGCUGAGCCGUAAAACUUCGUCUCAGAUUUCUUGAACCCAUGAAAGAUGUUUGCAAAGUCUGAGACUGCCUUGCUUAGUAUUUGGCUGCCCUCAGAAUCCGUUCCAGAGACCAGCUUUCAUAUGAUUGGAUGACAUGUAAAGCAUUAAGUUGUGUCAAUUGUAAUAAUUUGAGACAUCAGCAAGAUUUUUCAUGCCUCUCUCCUGGAGAUUAUCUCUGGAUCAGAUGCUAGAUCUUGACUUCUGUUAUCCUGGAGUGAGUCAAAAGAAAUUUGAAAUGGAGAGGAGACCAAAAUAACAGGGCCUUCAAUUCAGCCCAGAGACUAGGGGCAGAAACAUGCAACGGAGCUCUGAAAUGGACUGUGACUGGCUUAGACCUGAAGUGACAAAGACCCAGUCAGUGUGCCCAGGUGGGGCCUGGAGAAGGAGGACGGGGAAGGAACGGGCCAGCCUGCACCUUUAUCAUUUUCCUUGAUCCUGUGCCCCAGCUGAGGAACUCCCCAGCCUGUGCCGAGAAUACGUUCCUCGAGGACCACUUUUCAAACAGCCCUGUAGAGGGCGCGGUUUCCUCGUCCCAGAGGCUUCCAGGGUUCAGGCAGGCUCUGAAGGCUUUUCCAUCCGUCUGAUAAUCUCUUCGAAGCACUGAGGAAGCACCGUGGGGAGUAUCAAGAAGCACAGGAGGGCCUCCUCGGACUGUGAGAAACUCCGGGCAUAGUUCUAGGGAAGAAGACAAAGACAUGGACCUGUUGCAGUGGUUCCAAGACAUAUUCAAGUUCACGGCCAAGGCAGCCUGCAGAUUCUGGAUGCUUAGGAAUUCAGAAGAGGUCUGGACUGGUCCCAACAGUCUCUAAGGAAGGUGUCAAAGAGGUGAUGGCAUUGGGAGCAGACCUUAAUGGAUGAGAUGAUUUGGGGACUAACGCCAAGACAAGCAGAUGCAGAAGAUGGCAAGGUCUUGUUAAAGCCUCUUGUUUUUAAAUUAAAAUUAAAAUUCAACAUAUUUGAAUUGUUUACUUUUAAAUGGCUAAUUUUUAUUAUGUGACUUUUGCCUCAAUUAAAAACUACAUGAGAUAGCUA
RNAcentral lists this long non-coding RNA (2576 nucleotides) under Equus caballus (horse). Its description in RNAcentral is "lncRNA (ENSECAG00000046052.1)". Lineage: Eukaryota; Metazoa; Chordata; Mammalia; Perissodactyla; Equidae. The record is from RNAcentral.